RNAcentral lists this ribosomal RNA (586 nucleotides) under uncultured bacterium. Its description in RNAcentral is "partial 16S ribosomal RNA". It matches the Rfam family "Bacterial small subunit ribosomal RNA", at positions 355 to 1375 of the family's 1533-position model. The record is from RNAcentral.
UGGGGAAUUUUGGACAAUGGGCGAAAGCCUGAUCCAGCAAUGCCGCGUGUGUGAAGAAGGCCUUCGGGUUGUAAAGCACUUUUGUCCGGAAAGAAAUCCUUGGCUCUAAUACAGUCGGGGGAUGACGGUACCGGAAGAAUAAGCACCGGCUAACUACGUGCCAGCAGCCGCGGUAAUACGUAGGGUGCAAGCGUUAAUCGGAAUUACUGGGCGUAAAGCGUGCGCAGGCGGUUUGCUAAGACCGAUGUGAAAUCCCCGGGCUCAACCUGGGAACUGCAUUGGUGACUGGCAGGCUAGAGUAUGGCAGAGGGGGGUAGAAUUCCACGUGUGGCAGUGAAAUGCGUAGAGAUGUGGAGGAAUACCGAUGGCGAAGGCAGCCCCCUGGGCCAAUACUGACGCUCAUGCACGAAAGCGUGGGGAGCAAAACAGGAUUAGAUACCCUGGUAGUCCACGCCCUAAACGAUGUCAACUAGUUGUUGGGGAUUCAUUUCCUUAGUAACGUAGCUAACGCGUGAAGUUGACCGCCUGGGGAGUACGGUCGCAAGAUUAAAACUUAAAUGAAUUGACGGGGUCAUAGCUGUUUCCU